This 485-nucleotide ribosomal RNA is filed under the name uncultured bacterium. RNAcentral's name for it is "partial 16S ribosomal RNA". It matches the Rfam family "Bacterial small subunit ribosomal RNA", at positions 29 to 523 of the family's 1533-position model. The record is from RNAcentral.
AGUGAACGCUGGCGGCGUACUUAACACAUGCAAGUCGAACGAGAACGGGAUAUAGCUUGCUAUAUUUGUCAGCUAAGUGGCGCACGGGUGAGUAAUGUAUAGAUAACCUGCCCUCUAGAAAGGAAUAACAGUUGGAAACGACUGCUAAUGCCCUAUAUGCCUUUAAUACAUAAGUAUGCAAGGGAAACGCUUUAGUGCUAGAGGAUGGGUCUGUAUGGUAUCAGCUUGUUGGUGAGGUAAUGGCUCACCAAGGCUAUGACGCCUAACUGGUUUGAGAGGAUGAUCAGUCACACUGGAACUGAGACACGGUCCAGACUCCUACGGGAGGCAGCAGUGGGGAAUAUUGCACAAUGGACGAAAGUCUGACGCAGCAACGCCGCGUGGAGGAUGACACAUUUCGGUGCGUAAACUCCUUUUAUAUAGGAAGAUAAUGACGGUACUAUAUGAAUAAGCACCGGCUAACUCCGUGCCAGCCGCCGCGGUAA